UGGGGAAUAUUGCGCAAUGGGCGAAAGCCUGACGCAGCGACGCCGCGUGAGGGAUGAAGGCCUUCGGGUUGUAAACCUCUUUCAGCAGGGAAGAAGCGAAAGUGACGGUACCUGCAGAAGAAGCACCGGCUAACUACGUGCCAGCAGCCGCGGUAAUACGUAGGGUGCAAGCGUUGUCCGGAAUUAUUGGGCGUAAAGAGCUCGUAGGCGGUUUGUCGCGUCUGCUGUGAAAAUCCAGGGCUUAACCCUGGACCUGCAGUGGGUACGGGCAGACUAGAGUGCGGUAGGGGAGAUCGGAAUUCCUGGUGUAGCGGUGAAAUGCGCAGAUAUCAGGAGGAACACCGGUGGCGAAGGCGGAUCUCUGGGCCGUAACUGACGCUGAGGAGCGAAAGCAUGGGGAGCGAACA
RNAcentral lists this ribosomal RNA (407 nucleotides) under uncultured Angustibacter sp. RNAcentral's name for it is "bacterial SSU rRNA". It matches the Rfam family "Bacterial small subunit ribosomal RNA", at positions 355 to 774 of the family's 1533-position model. The record is from RNAcentral. Lineage: Bacteria; Bacillati; Actinomycetota; Actinomycetes; Kineosporiales; Kineosporiaceae.